This 45-nucleotide non-coding RNA is filed under the name Echinostoma caproni. The record is from RNAcentral. Lineage: Eukaryota; Metazoa; Platyhelminthes; Trematoda; Plagiorchiida; Echinostomatidae.
GCACUGCUGACGAGUCCCAGACAAGAUGAAACAGCUGUCUAGUGC